This 532-nucleotide ribosomal RNA is filed under the name uncultured bacterium. Its description in RNAcentral is "bacterial SSU rRNA". It matches the Rfam family "Bacterial small subunit ribosomal RNA", at positions 791 to 1319 of the family's 1533-position model. The record is from RNAcentral.
UAGUCCACGCCGUAAACGAUGAAUACUAGGUGUAGGAGGUAUCGACCCCUCCUGUGCCGCAGCUAACGCAUUAAGUAUUCCGCCUGGGGAGUACGACCGCAAGGUUGAAACUCAAAGGAAUUGACGGGUCCCCGCACAAGCAGCGGAGCAUGUUGUUUAAUUCGAAGCAACGCGAAGAACCUUACCAGGACUUGACAUCUACAGAAUUCUUUGGGAAACUUAGAAGUGCCCUUCGGGGAACUGUAAGACAGGUGGUGCAUGGUUGUCGUCAGCUCGUGUCGUGAGAUGUUGGGUUAAGUCCCGCAACGAGCGCAACCCCUAUUUUUAGUUACCAGCACGUAAUGGUGGGAACUCUAGAAAGACUGCCGGUGAUAAACCGGAGGAAGGUGGGGACGACGUCAAAUCAUCAUGCUCCUUAUGUCCUGGGCUACAAACGUGCUACAAUGGCCAUUACAGAGGGAUGCCACUCCGCGAGGAGGAGCGAAACCCGAAAGGUGGUCUCAGUUCGGAUUGGGGGCUGCAACCCGCCCUU